Molecule: long non-coding RNA, 379 nt
Organism: Octopus sinensis (East Asian common octopus)
Lineage: Eukaryota; Metazoa; Mollusca; Cephalopoda; Octopoda; Octopodidae
Exons: 3
Source: RefSeq, a predicted model, not a curated record
UCAUUGUUAGCAAAGAAACGGAGUAACUGGCUUUUGUUUGUAUUUUUUUAUGUCGUAAGCUGUCGAAGAUCCAGCGCUGUAUGAUACACACACUCUUUUCACAGACGCACCGCUGUCAAGUUUUUUCAACAGCUCAAAUUUUUCUUUCAUAGACAACGUACGAUGUUUACGUUUUACACCACGAGAAGCACUUCAUUUAUGCAUUGGAACCAUGGCUGGAGCUAAAAGAGAAAAAGGGAUAUAUCCUGAUCCUUGGAAUCCCGCUAAAGAGUAUCCCUUGUCAAGAAGGACAGCCUUUCUGACCUUGCUAAGAACCUCACUCACUUCAACAUCUUACAGGCAUAAAGCCCGAUAUUUUUGGUGAGGGAGCAGUCGCUUA